ACAAAACUCUGCAGUGCUUCGUCCCUCUGAGUUUGACACACCUGCUCAAAUGGGCCUGGAUACAUUCCCCGACUAUCAAUUUCCUGUCUGCCACUUUCUCUUUCCUCAAGUGACUGUCAUUCCCUUAGUAGAGUGAUGUGAAGAGUAAGAGAUACAACAAGA
Long non-coding RNA from Carassius auratus (goldfish), 162 nucleotides. RefSeq lists it as uncharacterized. The record is from RefSeq and is a predicted model, not a curated record. NCBI's taxonomy places the organism in Eukaryota, Metazoa, Chordata, Actinopteri, Cypriniformes, Cyprinidae. The transcript has 2 exons.